UACGGAGGGGGCGAGCGUUAUUCGGAAUUAUUGGGCGUAAAGGGCUCGUAGGCGGCCAACUAAGUCAGACGUGAAAUCCCUCGGCUUAACCGGGGAACUGCAUCUGAUACUGGAUGGCUUGAGAUUGGGAGAGGGAUGCGGAAUUCCAGGUGUAGCGGUGAAAUGCGUAGAUAUCUGGAGGAACACCGGUGGCGAAGGCGGCAUCCUGGACCAACACUGACGCUGAGGAGCGAAAGCCAGGGGAGCAAACGGG
RNAcentral lists this ribosomal RNA (253 nucleotides) under uncultured bacterium. Its description in RNAcentral is "partial 16S ribosomal RNA". It matches the Rfam family "Bacterial small subunit ribosomal RNA", at positions 524 to 776 of the family's 1533-position model. The record is from RNAcentral.